AUUUCUGUCCAGAAAAGCUGGAAGAACCCCCACUGCCACCUUCAAACCACCCCCUGCCACCACCUCUUGUCGCUGCAUACCACCGCUAACCACCACCUUCGUGAACUGUAAGUCCCUUCCUCCACCGCCUCUACAUUUUUGCUUUUGGUCUAGACCCAUUUCAUCAAUGAUAGCAAGCACACCGUUCAAAGUAACAUGGGUGUGUGCUCAUGUUGUGAACAAGAGGAAUCAGGAGCUUUCACACCUCCUGAUCGAAUGUAAUUUUCAGUUUGCUUUAAACAACCAAAACGUCGUUCUAUAUGGUUUUAAUCCCAUGCAAAUUAUAAAAUGCUCACAGUAACCGUUAUCUCAUUCUUUUUCUUUCUUCCUUAUAUAUGUGUGUUGUGGGUCGAAUAUUGCCAAGAGAAACAAGGAUUUUGUGGUGUCAUUUUGAUUAUACUUCAAACAAAUAUAUAAAUCAAAUCAAAGUAAGUGUUUUUAAAUCUCAAAUAUUAUUUCAUUUUGGUUUUGUAUUCCCUGUGUGGAUCGAAAAGAAUCCAAUAAACAAAACCAAAUAUUGUUUCGUUUUGUAUUAUAAGCCAUGCACUCAAAAACUUUCACUGUGGGCUUCCAAAAAUACAAAUUUUUUAAUUGACUUGCCUUGUUCCUGUGAGUUUCGAUUUUUACUAAACAGAGAAACCAAAUAUCGUUUCCAUUACCUUGUGUUGUUCAAUGAUGCAACAGAAGAAUUGACUCUACUGUUCAAACAUGCAUUAAUUUUAUUUAAAACAAACCUUUAGGUUGUGAUGAAUUUUCCAUCUAACCCCUCCCAAAGCAUUAUAUUUAUUUAUUUGGUUACGUAAAGAAAGAAGUAUAUAUGUAUAUAUAUUUCUUUUCUUUUUCCUUUUUUCUUUUCCAAACUUUGAUUCUAAAAUAAUUGUUUAAACCCUCAGUUGAAAAUAGUUUACAAAAUUAGUCUUAAUCUCAAAAUUUUAUUUAAAGUAUACACUUCAGCACCCUGCUUCAGAAAUAAACUACGAAAUCAAUCCCCUUGUUGAAUUAAUUUAACAAAUUUGUUCCUAUAAUUAAUUGUUUUAGCAAAACAUACGCUAGUAAUUAAUAUCAAAACUACCAUUGGUUUAUUAGGUAACAAAAAUAGUCCCGGAAGUUUAUUUUAAACGCAAGGAGCGUCAUACUGCGGUUCCUCACGGCACACUUAGUUCUCGAAUUUACGCAUUAAGGUGAGAGUUACGGCCCCUUUUCAAUAUUUUAUUUAUUCUUGGGGGAGAAUACAUGUGCUAAAUAGUAUUUAUUAUGCAAAUACAUAAGUCUUAUAUGAUACGCAUGCUACAAUUUUAAAAGUUAUAAAGACUUCCAUUUCUGAAUAUUAUCAUGCAUAAGGCUUUACACACUGGAUGAAUUUAUUUAUAAAAAUACCUUUUGGCUUUUAAAGACUCAUGACAAGCAUUGCUUCAACCAUUGUUAUACAAGGAAAAUACUUUAUGACAUUUGAAAGUAUUAUUACUACGGCUAGCAGAAAACCUAUGACUAUCACCAACCUUAUGUUGACUUUUAUUAUACAUGUAUUCUCAGGAAAUCAGUGAAAUUUCGGGCACAUUCAGACGAUGGAAAA
This 1612-nucleotide long non-coding RNA is filed under the name Lactuca sativa (garden lettuce). Its description in RNAcentral is "long non-coding RNA (LSAT_LNC004509)". The record is from RNAcentral. Lineage: Eukaryota; Viridiplantae; Streptophyta; Magnoliopsida; Asterales; Asteraceae.